RNAcentral lists this ribosomal RNA (465 nucleotides) under uncultured bacterium. RNAcentral's name for it is "partial 16S ribosomal RNA". It matches the Rfam family "Bacterial small subunit ribosomal RNA", at positions 28 to 507 of the family's 1533-position model. The record is from RNAcentral.
GACGAACGCUGGCGGCGUGCUUAACACAUGCAAGUCGAACGGAAAGGCCCUGCUUGCAGGGUACUCGAGUGGCGAACGGGUGAGUAACACGUGGGUGAUCUGCCCUGCACUUCGGGAUAAGCCUGGGCAACUGGGUCUAAUACCGGACAGGAGCCAUUUUUAGUGUGAUGGUUGGAAAGUUUUUUCGGUGUAGGAUGAGCUCGCGGCCUAUCAGCUUGUUGGUGGGGUAAUGGCCUACCAAGGCGGCGACGGGUAGCCGGCCUGAGAGGGUGGACGGCCACCUUGGGACUGAGAUACGGCCCAGACUCCUACGGGAGGGAGCAGUGGGGAAGAUUGAACAAUGGGCGCAAGCCUGAUGCAGCGACGCCGCGUGGGGGAUGACGGCCUUCGGGUUGUAAACUCCAUUCGCUAGGGACGAAGCUUUUUGUGACGGUACCUAGAUAAGAAGCACCGGCUAACUACGUG